RNAcentral lists this ribosomal RNA (403 nucleotides) under uncultured prokaryote. RNAcentral's name for it is "bacterial SSU rRNA". It matches the Rfam family "Bacterial small subunit ribosomal RNA", at positions 355 to 774 of the family's 1533-position model. The record is from RNAcentral.
UAGGGAAUAUUGCUUAAUGGGCGAAAGCCUGAAGCAGCAACGCCGCGUGGACGAAGAAGGCCUUCGGGUUGUAAAGUUCUUUUAUAUGGGAUGAGGAAGGACAGUACCAUAUGAAUAAGUCUCGGCUAACUACGUGCCAGCAGCCGCGGUAAAACGUAGGAGACGAGCGUUAUCCGGAUUUACUGGGCGUAAAGAGCGUGUAGGAGGCAAUACAAGUCGGAUGUAAAAGCUCUCGGCUAAACUGAGAGAGGACGUUCAAGACUGUAGAGCUAGAGGAAGGCAGAGGUAGAUGGAACUCCGGGAGUAGUGGUGAAAUGCGUAGAUAUCCGGAAGAACACCAGAGGCGAAAGCGGCCUCCUGGACCACUCCUGACACUCAGACGCGAAAGCUAGGGUAGCAAACG